This 644-nucleotide unclassified non-coding RNA is filed under the name Hevea brasiliensis (rubber tree). The record is from RNAcentral. Lineage: Eukaryota; Viridiplantae; Streptophyta; Magnoliopsida; Malpighiales; Euphorbiaceae.
UUGACUGACACUCUCUCCAAAUUUAACAAUCAAUAAGAUCAAUAACAUACUCCCAUUAUGAAAAAGAAUAUCACACUUUUACUUUGCCACUAAAAAUACUAUAAGUUUCCUAAGUCCCACUCCCUCAUUUGAAAAUGCUAGCUCAUUUGUCUUCAUAUCACUAAACCAUCAACAUCAUUGCGACGAAGCACAUUGUGAAUACUACGGAAGGUCAGAUGUCCACAACCUUUGCAUCUCAAGUAGACGAUUUCCAUAGUUUGAACCCAUGAUCUCCAGCUUACAAAAAAUUGGGAGGAAAGAGUAGACAAAUGCCUAUAGACAUGAACUAGAAAGCAAGACUAACUUUUGGCAUGCUAAAAGAAAUGGCCAUAUCUGCUGCCACUCUGUUACUAAUUGCAUAUAAAAAUUGUUUGUUUCAGAUUGUUUGCACUGAAGACCAUUUCACGGUCCAUGACAGGUAGCCUUAACCUUCAAUAUGAGCUGCAUUAUUGAUGGUUUAACCAAAGGCCAUUUCAGUCCCUUUCCUCCAAAUACAAACACACACACUCAAUUUCCCAUGCAUUCUUAUGCGGGCAUACAUGAUACAUGAACUUACAACAUCAGACUGCGUUAGUUUCUAAUCCUAAAACAGAACUAAUAUUCCG